This 468-nucleotide ribosomal RNA is filed under the name uncultured bacterium. Its description in RNAcentral is "partial 16S ribosomal RNA". It matches the Rfam family "Bacterial small subunit ribosomal RNA", at positions 28 to 507 of the family's 1533-position model. The record is from RNAcentral.
GACGAACGCUGGCGGCGUGCUUAACACAUGCAAGUCGAACGGAAAGGCCCUGCUUUUGUGGGGUGCUCGAGUGGCGAACGGGUGAGUAACACGUGAGUAACCUGCCCUUGACUUUGGGAUAACUUCACGAAACUGGGGCUAAUACCGGAUAGGAGCUCCUGCUGCAUGGUGGUGGUUGGAAAGUUUCGGCGGUUGGGGAUGGACUCGCGGCUUAUCCGCUUGUUGGUGGGGUAGUGGCUUACCAAGGCUUUGACGGGUAGCCGGCCUGAGAGGGUGACCGGCCACAUUGGGACUGAGAUACGGCCCAGACGCCUACGGGAGGCAGCAGUGGGGAAUAUUGCACAAUGGGCGGAAGCCUGAUGCAGCAACGCCGCGUGCGGGAUGACGGCCUUCGGGUUGUAAACCGCUUUCGCCUGUGACGAAGAGUGAGUGACGGUAAUGGGUAAAGAAGCACCGGCUAACUACGUG